Molecule: small nuclear RNA, 105 nt
Filed under: Aotus nancymaae (Ma's night monkey)
Lineage: Eukaryota; Metazoa; Chordata; Mammalia; Primates; Aotidae
Source: RNAcentral
GUGCUCGCUUUGGCAGCACAUAUACUAAAAUUGGAACAAUUUUAGAAGAUUAUCUGUCCCCUGUGCAAGGAUGACACGCAAAUUUGUGAAGAGUUCCAUAUUUUU